Molecule: transfer RNA, 86 nt
Filed under: Caerostris extrusa
Lineage: Eukaryota; Metazoa; Arthropoda; Arachnida; Araneae; Araneidae
Description: tRNA-Leu
Rfam family: tRNA
About the family: Transfer RNA (tRNA) molecules are approximately 80 nucleotides in length. Their secondary structure includes four short double-helical elements and three loops (D, anti-codon, and T loops).
Source: RNAcentral
GUCAGGAUGGCCGAGUGGUCUAAGGCGCUGCGUUCAGGUCGCAGUCCACUUCUUGUGGGCGGUGGGUUCGAAUUCAUCUUUUGACA